CCUUAGAAGAUCUGUGCGAUGCCAAGUCGAAUCGUUCCCUGGAUGCGACUUAUCUCAUAGAGAUUCACCUUUCAGAAAAUGACGUCAUAAGCGAUCAUCUGCUGAAUUAUGAUCUCCAGAUUAUGGAUUGUCCUGGAAUCACGAAAUGUCGAGAGCUUGGUGAUAAAGUUAAAGUCUUCUGCGCAGACUCAGAUGUUCAUGUAUUCAUCGUGAAUCCCAAGACAGUCAUGUCACCAGAAGAACGGGAUCAUUUUGUAGAAGUAGGAAAACGUCUUCCUAAGCCCGACAUCAUCGUCGGUUUCACUCAGUGGGAUCUAUCAGCGAGAGAAAAACGCCCUGAAGA
Long non-coding RNA from Strongylocentrotus purpuratus (purple sea urchin), 343 nucleotides. RefSeq lists it as uncharacterized. Lineage: Eukaryota; Metazoa; Echinodermata; Echinoidea; Camarodonta; Strongylocentrotidae. The transcript has 3 exons. The record is from RefSeq and is a predicted model, not a curated record.